UUUCUUAGGGUAGAGUGCACCUGGACUGGAAAGAUGAAACAGCAAGAAUUGCCUUUUUUGUUGUGAAGAGACAUGGAGCUGGAUGCUGGCACUUGGUGUUUGGAGUUCACUCAGCUGUGGGAGAAGGCUGCAGCUGCCCAAAGCCUGGGAUGAGAAAACAUGGUUCCUGUACCAGAAUAAGUAUUAGAAACAAGAGCAAUCUCUGAAUUUGAGUAUCAACCCAGAACUUUGAUGAAAGUCAAGGUAAAUGUAAAGGUAACCAUAUUUUUUUGCUGAAAUUUGUCUUUGAGCAUAUGUGCUUCC
RNAcentral lists this long non-coding RNA (303 nucleotides) under Cyanistes caeruleus (blue tit). RNAcentral describes it as "lncRNA (ENSCCEG00000021765.1)". The record is from RNAcentral. Lineage: Eukaryota; Metazoa; Chordata; Aves; Passeriformes; Paridae.